This 64-nucleotide transfer RNA is filed under the name Thermistis croceocincta. RNAcentral's name for it is "tRNA-Phe". Lineage: Eukaryota; Metazoa; Arthropoda; Insecta; Coleoptera; Cerambycidae. The record is from RNAcentral.
AUCUAAAUAGCUUAAGAAGAGUUUAAUAUUGAAGAUAUUAAGGUAAUAGAUUUAUUUUUAGAUA